This 207-nucleotide ribosomal RNA is filed under the name uncultured bacterium. Its description in RNAcentral is "partial 16S ribosomal RNA". It matches the Rfam family "Bacterial small subunit ribosomal RNA", at positions 568 to 774 of the family's 1533-position model. The record is from RNAcentral.
CGUGCAGGCGGGUUGGUAAGUCAGAUGUGAAAGCCCUGGACUCAACCCAGGAAGUGCAUUUGAAACUGCCAUCCUUGAGUAUGGGAGAGGAGAGUGGAAUUCCCAAUGUAGAGGUGAAAUUCGUAGAUAUUGGGAGGAACACCCGUGGCGAAGGCGACUCUCUGGACCAAUACUGACGCUGAGACGCGAAAGCGUGGGGAGCAAACA